RNAcentral lists this ribosomal RNA (464 nucleotides) under uncultured bacterium. RNAcentral's name for it is "SSU rRNA". It matches the Rfam family "Bacterial small subunit ribosomal RNA", at positions 26 to 518 of the family's 1533-position model. The record is from RNAcentral.
AGGAUUAACGCUGGCGGCGUGCCUGACACAUGCAAGUCGAACGAGGCCGCAAGGCCGAGUGGCGGACGGGUGAGUAACACGUGACCAACCAACCUCGAAGUUGGGAAUAGCUCUGCGAAAGUAGGGGUAAUACCGAAUGUGGCCCAGGGCGGGCAUCCGCCUUGGUCUAAAGAUUCAUCGCUUCGAGACGGGGUCGCGGCCUAUUAGCUUGUUGGUGAGGUAACGGCUCACCAAGGCGAUGAUGGGUAGCUGGUCUGAGAGGACGACCAGCCACACUGGGACUGAGACACGGCCCAGACUCCUACGGGAGGCAGCAGUGAGGAAUCUUCCGCAAUGGGCGAAAGCCUGACGGAGCAACGCCGCGUGUGGGAUGAAGACUCUAGGGUUGUAAACCACUGUCGGAGGGGACGAUCGUGACGGUACCCUCCAAGAAACGCCCCGGCUAACUACGCGCCAGCAGCCGC